CCCGCUGAACUUAAGCAUAUCAAUAAGCGGAGGAAAAGAAACUAACAAGGAUUCCCCUAGUAACUGCGAGUGAAGCGGGAAGAGCUCAAAUUUGAAAUCUGGUAGCUCUCUGAACUGUCCGAGUUGUAAUCUAGAGAAGUGUUACCUGUGCUGGACCGUGUACAAGUCUCCUGGAAUGGAGCGUCACAGAGGGUGAGAAUCCCGUCUUUGACACGGACUGCCUGCAUGUUUAUGGUGCGCUCAUCAGAGAGUCGAGUUGUUUGGGAAUGCAGCUCAAAAUGGGUGGUAAAUGCCAUCUAAAGCUAAAUAUUGGCGAGAGACCGAUAGCGAACAAGUUCCGUGAGGGAAAGAUGAAAAGAACUUUGGAAAGAGAGUUAAACAGUACGCUGAAAUUGCUGAAAGGGAAACGCUUGAAGUCAGUCGCGUCGGCUAGAAAUCAACCUUGCUUUUGCUUGGUGUACUUUCUUGUCGAUGGGUCAGCAUCAAUUUUGACCGUUGGAUAAAGUCGUUGGGAAUGUGGCAUCUUAGGAUGUGUUAUAGCCCAUUGUCGCUAUAUCAGCGGUUGGGAUUGAGGAACUCAGCACGCCCGCAAGGCGACGGGUUUUGACUCAGCGUGAUACGUGCUUAGAGAUGCUGGCAUAAUGGCUUUAAUCGACCCGUCGUGAAACACGG
Molecule: ribosomal RNA, 672 nt
Filed under: uncultured fungus
Lineage: Eukaryota; Fungi
Description: eukaryotic LSU rRNA
Rfam family: Eukaryotic large subunit ribosomal RNA
Source: RNAcentral